GGUGGACCGCAUGUAUUACUGUUAUGGAAAACAUUCCAUUUCAACGGCUUUCCCUCCCCAUGUGCUACAUACUAAAUCAGUGCUACGGUUUACUUCCGCUUGGAGAAAAUGAAGAUAGCAGAGAAGGAAAAGAAAGUAAAAGUCAUAUAAAAGUGGGUCUGGAGUAAACAACAGACGAACUGAGCUAUUUUUGAAAGAACAUGACCACCUUCAAAAGUCCCUCCAGAUGUGGCCUAGGAAUCCUUUUAAACACAGUGCACCAGGCAGAAAUUAGUUGGAAUUACUUCAUAAGAUGCAGUUUAUUUGCUAUUCACCCUUGUAUUUCAGCUCCAUUAUUUGUCCUUGAUAUGCCUGUCUAUGAAAACACUCUCUCCUUCCCAGAGAUGGCAGCUAACAAGACCUAGCAAAGAGAAACGGGAAUUUUCAUUCACAAUUUCAUAGGGAAAGCAAUUGGUAAGAUUAUUUUACUGCCAAGGGUAAUAAAGUUAAUGAGAGAGUUGAAGAAAGAGGCACGAAUUCUGAAACUGUCUAGAACCAUCUAAGAGGUAAAGCUGAGGCGUUUUAUCCAUACUUGCAGGCUGUGAUUGUUUCAUAGAAGUACCCUCUGAUUUAUGGGCAUGUCAUUGAUCACAACUAGAAUUACAGAUUGGGCACAUUAAGCACAU
Macaca mulatta (Rhesus monkey) is the source of this 665-nucleotide non-coding RNA. The record is from RefSeq and is a predicted model, not a curated record. Lineage: Eukaryota; Metazoa; Chordata; Mammalia; Primates; Cercopithecidae.